UACGGAAGGCAGCAGUGGGGAAUAUUGCACAAUGGGCGCAAGCCUGAUGCAGCCAUGCCGCGUGUAUGAAGAAGGCCUUCGGGUUGUAAAGUACUUUCAGUCGUGAGGAAGGUGUUAAGGUUAAUAACCUUAGCAAUUGACGUUAGCGACAGAAGAAGCACCGGCUAACUCCGUGCCAGCAGCCGCGGUAAUACGGAGGGUGCGAGCGUUAAUCGGAAUUACUGAGCGUAAAGGGCACGCAGGCGGUUAAUUAAGUUGGAUGUGAAAUCCCCGGGCUUAACCUGGGAAUGGCAUUCAAGACUGGUUAGCUAGAGUCUUGUAGAGGGGGUAGAAUUCCAUGUGUAGCGGUGAAAUGCGUAGAGAUGUGGAGGAAUACCGGUGGCGAAGGCGGCCCCUGGGACAAAGACUGACGCUCAUGUGCGAAAGCGUGGGGAGCAAACAGGAUUAGAUACC
Molecule: ribosomal RNA, 453 nt
Filed under: uncultured bacterium
Lineage: Bacteria
Description: bacterial SSU rRNA
Rfam family: Bacterial small subunit ribosomal RNA
Source: RNAcentral